Molecule: long non-coding RNA, 245 nt
Filed under: Setaria italica (foxtail millet)
Lineage: Eukaryota; Viridiplantae; Streptophyta; Magnoliopsida; Poales; Poaceae
Description: long non-coding RNA (SITA_LNC007014)
Source: RNAcentral
AAAGCUGAAGGCUACUCCAACUCCUGUUAAUCCUUGAUUCUUCAAUUGGGCGAUCUUGCCUUAGAGCUCGGGUACUUUAAGAUUGUUUUAGUGCGUCGGCUCAUCUAUCCAUCUGUUGUUCCACUUUGGGCGGUGACCAAUCACCUUUGGGAGCUUUGGAUCAUGGUCUCCAAUAUAGAAUCACUUCUCCUUCCACCCAGAGAGCGACUCCAACAACUCAUACUCCAGGUACACGCUACUUGAUU